AUUGAACGCUGGCGGCAUGCCUUACACAUGCAAGUCGAGCGAGAAAGCUCCUUCGGGAGUUAGUAAAGCGGCGAACGGGUGAGCAACACGUGAGAAUCUACCCUUUAGUGAAGAAUACCCUCGAGAAAUCGAGGCUAAUACUGCAUACGUCCCUUCGGGGAGAAAGAUGGCCUCUUUGCUAUCGCUAAAGGAUGAGCUUGCGUACUAUUAGCUAGUUGGCGGGGUAAAGGCCCACCAAGGCAAUGAUGGUUAACCGGCCUGAGAGGGUGUACGGUCACACUGGAACUUAGACACGGUCCAGACUCCUACGGGAGGCAGCAGUGAGGAAUCUUGCGCAAUGGGCGAAAGCCUGACGCAGCGACGCCGCGUGGAGGAUGACGGUUUUCGGAUUGUAAACUCCUGUUAAGCGGGAAGAAAGCCUUGUUUCUAAUACAAGCAAGGUAUGACGGUACCGCUAGAGAAAGCACCGGCUAACUUCGUGCCAGCAGCCGCGGUAAAGUCGUCA
RNAcentral lists this ribosomal RNA (505 nucleotides) under uncultured bacterium. RNAcentral's name for it is "bacterial SSU rRNA". It matches the Rfam family "Bacterial small subunit ribosomal RNA", at positions 30 to 529 of the family's 1533-position model. The record is from RNAcentral.